RNAcentral lists this long non-coding RNA (266 nucleotides) under Ananas comosus (pineapple). Its description in RNAcentral is "long non-coding RNA (ACOM_LNC034559)". The record is from RNAcentral. Lineage: Eukaryota; Viridiplantae; Streptophyta; Magnoliopsida; Poales; Bromeliaceae.
UCGAGACUCUAUAUCAUGUCCUAAGUCAUAGAGUCUGUAUUAGGAUGUUAAAAGUGUAAUUCUGUUUUUAUUGGAUCGAUCACGCAGAAGGUUGUUGUUUGGUGAUUGCAAUAACCUCCUUAUUUUUGUCUUUGGAUAAGCAUUGUAUAUUCUUUUUGUAUUUUGUCACGAAAUCGCCAAAGGGGGAGAUUGUUAAGGAUUUUAUAAGUUGGCGAAUUUCGUGAUGGUUUGGAUGGAGUCUCGAAGAAUUAGAAGAUGAAGAUUGA